Long non-coding RNA from Alosa alosa (allis shad), 1798 nucleotides. RefSeq lists it as uncharacterized. The transcript has 4 exons. Lineage: Eukaryota; Metazoa; Chordata; Actinopteri; Clupeiformes; Clupeidae. The record is from RefSeq and is a predicted model, not a curated record.
AUGCUCAGUUGGCCUGACGUGUAGAUAGUUUGGUUGCAUUUAAUUAGGCCACCAGCAUGUAAAAAUGAGCAAAAAACCUGAAAAAGACAAAUUGCACCCACUACAGUGACCUAUCAGUACCUUUUUGGAUAAACACUGCAGUUCCAUUUUGUUUCCUGUAGGAGACAGCGUGCGCUGUAGGCAUUUUAAGCUAGUAAAUAAUUGCCUGAUAGAAGUUUUUGUUGUGAAAGGCAAAUAAGUUGAAGAUAAAAGUUAUGAUGUGUAUAUCACGUGUUUUGUUUAAACAUAAAUGAUUUUUUGUGGCCAAAAAUAAAGAGGCUUAGUUUAAAAGACUGGGUCCCGCUGUAUUGCUCAGGCUGCACUGCAGCGCCUAUUCACAGGCGCGAUCCCACUACUGAUCGGCACGGGGGCUUCGACCUGCUCCGUUUCCGACCUGGGCCGGUGCACCUCUCCUUAGGCGACCUGGUGGUCCCGGGCUCCCCCAGGAGCACCAUAUCGAUACCGAACUUAGCGCGGACACCCGAUCGGCAUAGUCCGAUGCAGCCCAGAACCCCUGAGCUCAAUCGAUCCGCCAGCCUCAGCCUCCCAGACACUUGGAUUAUAGGCGCACGCCACUGCACCCGGCGAAGGACACAGUGAUUCGGAUAGAACUUCAAGCUGUUUACAGAGUCACCUGUUUCUUCAGUCUGCAGCAGGUGUCAGACUUGAGUGUUACCUGAGGCCCGUGUUUUGGAGGUGCCCUGCUGGGAGGGAGGUGGGAUUCCUGUUGGACUGGUUGAGCCUGUUCCUCCAGACAGACCCGUAUGAAGUGCGGUACACUCCUCCUUGCACUGUUGCUCUGAAGACUGGCCCUUAUCUGCUCGUGCACAGUUCCACGGUGUGUUUCAAGAAGAAGUACUGUGCAAGGGCUAUAUUUAGAAAUGGUGACAGUGUCGCUAAUGUUUAUUUGGAUGGUCAUGCUGUAUGACGUGUGGAAAUAAUAUGUUAACUCAGUGAAUGUUGUUGAUCAUGAGUGAGGGUGGUGUUGAGAGUGAGAGAAAAGCUCCCGGUUAGCCACCGUAUUCAAGUGCAUUCAAGUAAUUCAUUACGUCUUUUGUUCACUGGCUUCCCUCCAUGUCAAAGGAAAAACCCCAUUUGAGUCACAACUUGGUGAAAUAGCAUGUUAAUGAUGUAAAGCUUAAUGUAAUUGUGUGCAUAUAAGACCUUUAUGCAUACAUAACACUGAAAAAAAAACACCUUAUAGUAUAAGUAUACAAGCAAUCUAUGUGACAAUUUAGGUCAAAAUGAUCCAAAUUGUAGUUGUAGCAGGCAACAUUGCAACAGGUUAGGUCAUGUGUCGAGUCAUUUUUGUAGUUAAAGUAUUGUCGCAACUUACUUCUGCGCAGCUCUGUGCUAAUUGUUAGCAUCAGUAAUCAGAUGUGUCUGGAGGAAAUAGGAUGCAGCAGCCGAGCAGACUGAAUAACAUAGAAGUGAUUCAGAUCAGAUGUCCAUCUGUGAGUUUCCCCCCUUUUGGCAGGUGCCAGCAUGAUGAAGCCCUCCUUCGGUCUCGACCCCUAGAGAUGGACUUUGCCAUGCCCGGGCGUGACCUGGCACAUGUUUGUGCCAGGCUGAGCAUUUAGAGGAGUUGCCAUUCCAGAAGCAAGUGGUCAGUGAAGGUGAUGUCAACACACAGAUGAUGUGUCUGUCAAUGAACUUAAACACUGACCAGCAAGAGGUCCGCUAUUUCAAAGGCCAUAAACUUGUUGAGUCCUGUGGCUGAAUGUCUCUUGGGGACAUAAAUAAAACAUCUCCUGUUCAA